RNAcentral lists this ribosomal RNA (253 nucleotides) under uncultured Blautia sp. Its description in RNAcentral is "partial 16S ribosomal RNA". It matches the Rfam family "Bacterial small subunit ribosomal RNA", at positions 524 to 776 of the family's 1533-position model. The record is from RNAcentral. Lineage: Bacteria; Bacillati; Bacillota; Clostridia; Lachnospirales; Lachnospiraceae.
UACGUAGGUGGCAAGCGUUGUCCGGAUUUACUGGGUGUAAAGGGCGUGUAGCCGGGCUGACAAGUCAGAUGUGAAAUACCGGGGCUCAACCCCGGGACUGCAUUUGGAACUGUUAAGCUGGAGUGUCGGAGAGGCAGGCGGAAUUCCUAGUGUAGCGGUGAAAUGCGUAGAUAUUAGGAGGAACACCAGUGGCGAAGGCGGCCUGCUGGACGAUGACUGACGUUGAGGCUCGAAAGCGUGGGGAGCAAACAGG